This 372-nucleotide ribosomal RNA is filed under the name uncultured bacterium. Its description in RNAcentral is "bacterial SSU rRNA". It matches the Rfam family "Bacterial small subunit ribosomal RNA", at positions 524 to 898 of the family's 1533-position model. The record is from RNAcentral.
UACGGAGGAUCCGAGCGUUAUCCGGAUUUAUUGGGUUUAAAGGGUGCGUAGGCUGGGAAUUAAGUCAGUGGUGAAAGUUUGCGGCUCAACCGUAAAAUUGCCGUUGAUACUGGUUCUCUUGAGUACAUUUGAGGCAGGCGGAAUGUGGUGUGUAGCGGUGAAAUGCAUAGAUAUACCACAGAACACCGAUUGCGAAGGCAGCUUGCUAAGAUGUGACUGACGCUGAAGCACGAAAGCAUGGGGAUCAAACAGGAUUAGAUACCCUGGUAGUCCAUGCUGUAAACGAUAAUCACUAGCUGUUUGCGAUAUAUAGUAAGCGGCACAGGGAAACCAUUAAGUGAUCCACCUGGGGAGUACGUUGGCAACAAUGAA